This 1066-nucleotide long non-coding RNA is filed under the name Rattus norvegicus (Norway rat). RNAcentral describes it as "long non-coding RNA NONRATT017996". The record is from RNAcentral. Lineage: Eukaryota; Metazoa; Chordata; Mammalia; Rodentia; Muridae.
GAUGAGAUUGACAGACCUCCAGUCACGCCUGCUUUGUUACUGAGUUUCUGCCCGGAGGAGACCUCAUGAUGCAGAUCCACGAGGAUGUCUUUCCUGAGCCCCAGGCCUGCUUCUACCUGGCCUGUGUGGUCCUGGGGCUGCAGUUCCUACACGAGAAGAGGAUCAUUUACAGGGAUCUGAAAUUGGAUAAUCUACUACUGGAUGCCCAGGGCUUCCUCAAGAUUGCAGACUUCGGACUAUGCAAAGAAGGAAUUGGCUUUGGUGACCGGACCAGCACUUUCUGUGGUACCCCAGAGUUCCUGGCUCCUGAGGUUUUGACUCAGGAGGCUUACACUCGGGCUGUGGACUGGUGGGGGCUCGGUGUGCUGCUCUAUGAGAUGUUAGUGGGUGAGGGGACACGGAAGACGAGGUGUUUGAAUGCAUCGUCAAUGCUGAUGUCCCAUGUCCCCACUUCCUGUCAGCUCAAGGCCUCGAGCUCAUUCAGAAGCUCCUCCAGAAGUCCCCAGAGAAGCGUCUAGGGGCAGGAGAGCGGGACGCCGAGGAGAUCAAGGUUCAGCCAUUCUUCAGGACCACCAACUGGCAGGCCUUGCUUGCCCGCACUGUCCAGCCCCCCUUCGUGCCUACCCUCUGUGGCCCUGCAGACCUUCGUUACUUCGAGGGAGAGUUCACCAGCCUGCCUCCAACCCUGACCCCACCAGUCCCCCGCCGUUCCCUCUCUGCUCGCCAACAAGCUGCCUUCCGGGACUUUGACUUUGUGUCUAAGCGGUUCCUGGAGUCCUGAGGGUCUCCUGGCACCUCUGCCAGAGUGUAGGAAGCCUCCACUUAUCCAUGUGCCUGGGCCAAAGGAUUUAAUGAGUGUGAGAUUCUAGGUAGUGGCCAUGGGGCUGCCGUUCGAGGCUUUUCUCGGUGUUGCUGCUAUAACCCCUCUCCUUAUUCUUCUGCUUCCUGGUAGACCCCAGACCAGGAAAGACCCCACAGCAGCAUGGUUGGUUUCUCUUUUUAAUACUUGACUUCAUAUAGAGUAUUAAAUUAAUAAAACUGUACACUCGAGGUAGCCAGGCCAGGG